UAUCAUGGUCAUCCUUUAUUUCUCUCUCUUCGAUACACAGCAAGCAGCAUCUGUAUCUUCUUCUACAAUAUACCACAUCCAAAAUUAACAGCAAACAUCUUCAUGUCUGACUUCUUCUUCUUCUUCUUCUUCUUCGAUACACAGACCUCAUAGCAGUCCCCCACAUCAAUUUCCAUUCUCUCCUUUCGAUAAACAACAACAACCGAUCAACCUGGAGCCGACAUCAACCUGGUACAGCUGCUGAGAUUCAGAUACAACCGACAAUAACCAAGUACAGUCUUCGUCGCUGAGAUUCAUUAUCACAGGAAGUCUUCGUCGUCCAAUAAUGAGUCUUCGUCGACUAGGAGUCUUCGGCCAGGAGUGAGUCUUCGUCGACACAUUGAGUCUUCGCCGGUAAACAGGCUUUGUCAACAAGUAGUGGACGAACCUUGAGGGUUCGUCGUUUGGAGGAUUGUACGUCACAAGCAUGCUUCGUCAACAUCAGAAUCUUCGUCAUGUAUAAUAAGGCAAGUGACGUAGAAUGGUGGAUGGUAGUGGUGGUGCGGUGCUAGUAGUGGGUUCAACGAUGGUGGAGUUGUGGUCCGAUGGUAAUGGUGGUGAUUGGGGCUCUAGGGGUGUAUGAUGGGUGGUUACAGAUCUGGGGGCUACGGUGGUUGCAGAAGGUGGGUGGUGGAGUGUGGUAAUGGUGGUGAAGGGGAUACGGCUAAUGAGGGUGGGUGGUUGCAGACCUGGGGUGGUGGCUAGUGACGGUUGUUAAUAGUUACAAAAAUGCAAUCUGUUAUACACUUAAAUGCAGCUUUUUCUAUACUGA
RNAcentral lists this long non-coding RNA (811 nucleotides) under Helianthus annuus (common sunflower). RNAcentral describes it as "sRNA HanXRQr2_Chr03g0092911". Lineage: Eukaryota; Viridiplantae; Streptophyta; Magnoliopsida; Asterales; Asteraceae. The record is from RNAcentral.